RNAcentral lists this ribosomal RNA (253 nucleotides) under uncultured bacterium. RNAcentral describes it as "partial 16S ribosomal RNA". It matches the Rfam family "Bacterial small subunit ribosomal RNA", at positions 524 to 776 of the family's 1533-position model. The record is from RNAcentral.
UACGUAGGCAGCGAGCGUUGUUCGGAUUUACUGGGCGUAAAGAGUGCGUAGGCGGUUUUCUAAGUUUGGUGUGAAAUCUCCCGGCUCAACUGGGAGGGUGCGCCGAAGACUGGAAGGCUAGAGUAUGGGAGAGGUAAGCGGAAUUCCUGGUGUAGCGGUGAAAUGCGUAGAUAUCAGGAGGAACACCUGCGGUGUAGACGGCUUACUGGACCAUCACUGACGCUGAGGCACGAAAGCGUGGGUAGCAAACAGG